AGUGAACGCUGGCGGCAGGCCUAAUACAUGCAAGUCGAACGGCAGCACGGCAGAGCUUGCUCUGUGGGUGGCGAGUGGCGGACGGGUGAGGAAUACAUGGGAAUCUGCCCAGUCGUGGGGGAUAACGUAGGGAAACUUACGCUAAUACCGCAUGCGCCCUUCGGGGGAAAGCCGGGGACCUUCGGGCCUGGCGCGAUUGGAUGAGCCCAUGUCGGAUUAGCUAGUUGGCGGGGUAAUGGCCCACCAAGGCGACGAUCCGUAGCUGGUCUGAGAGGAUGAUCAGCCACACUGGAACUGAGACACGGUCCAGACUCCUACGGGAGGCAGCAGUAGGGAAUAUUGGACAAUGGGCGCAAGCCUGAUCCAGCCAUGCCGCGUGAGUGAAGAAAGCCCUCGGGUUGUAAAGCUCUUUUGUCCGGAAAGAAAGCGCCGGGUUAAUACCCUGGUGUCCUGACGGUACCGAAGAAUAAGCACCGGCUAACUUCGUGCCAGCACG
Molecule: ribosomal RNA, 496 nt
Filed under: uncultured bacterium
Lineage: Bacteria
Description: bacterial SSU rRNA
Rfam family: Bacterial small subunit ribosomal RNA
Source: RNAcentral